Molecule: ribosomal RNA, 530 nt
Filed under: uncultured bacterium
Lineage: Bacteria
Description: bacterial SSU rRNA
Rfam family: Bacterial small subunit ribosomal RNA
Source: RNAcentral
UGGGGAAUAUUGCACAAUGGGCGCAAGCCUGAUGCAGCGACGCCGCGUGGGGGAUGACGGCCUUCGGGUUGUAAACUCCUUUCGCCAGGGACGAAGCGUUUUGUGACGGUACCUGGAGAAGAAGCACCGGCUAACUACGUGCCAGCAGCCGCGGUAAUACGUAGGGUGCAAGCGUUGUCCGGAAUUACUGGGCGUAAAGAGCUCGUAGGUGGUUUGUCACGUCGUCUGUGAAAUUCCACAGCUUAACUGUGGGCGUGCAGGCGAUACGGGCUGACUUGAGUACUGUAGGGGUAACUGGAAUUCCUGGUGUAGCGGUGAAAUGCGCAGAUAUCAGGAGGAACACCGAUGGCGAAGGCAGGUUACUGGGCAGUUACUGACGCUGAGGAGCGAAAGCAUGGGUAGCAAACAGGAUUAGAUACCCUGGUAGUCCAUGCCGUAAACGGUGGGCGCUAGGUGUAGGGGCCUUUUGGGGUUUCUGUGCCGUAGCUAACGCAUUAAGCGCCCCGCCUGGGGAGUACGGCCGCAAGGCU